AAAAGGCGGGCAGUUUGAGUUGAGAGGCAGGGUCAGGGCCUCCUCACCCCUGAAGGCCUCCCCGGCUCCAGUUCCAGCUCCAGCCCGUCUCUCCCUGCCUCAGUGCUCUCCAAGCCAUGCUCCCUGUGCCUGCUGCGGGGCCCUGGCUGGGAUAUCAUCAUAUACUGUAAGUUUGCAAUGAGAUACUACAGUAUAGAUGAUGUACUAGUCCGGGUCCCCACAGCUCUGGAGCCAGAUGAGGAGGGCAGGGCAUGCUGCAAACCCACCAAGCUCACCGCUCAGCCUAUCACAGCCUGCUGACCGCCGGGACGCUUGGGGAUGGCGAGGAAACCGUUACCAUUACUGAGUUUAGUAAUGGUAACGGUUCUCUUGCUGUACCCAGAAUACGUGUCAAGAAGAGAGCUCAGGACCCUGGAGCAGAUCACUGGAAGGGAGGGAGACUCCAGCUCAGACAACAGGGUGGGGGUGAGGGAAUGGGUUUUCUCUUUCCUGUUCUAAAGAAAUAAAGAUGAGAACCAGUA
Molecule: long non-coding RNA, 521 nt
Organism: Mustela lutreola (European mink)
Lineage: Eukaryota; Metazoa; Chordata; Mammalia; Carnivora; Mustelidae
Exons: 2
Source: RefSeq, a predicted model, not a curated record